Molecule: transfer RNA, 75 nt
Filed under: Egibacter rhizosphaerae
Lineage: Bacteria; Bacillati; Actinomycetota; Nitriliruptoria; Egibacterales; Egibacteraceae
Description: tRNA-Val
Rfam family: tRNA
About the family: Transfer RNA (tRNA) molecules are approximately 80 nucleotides in length. Their secondary structure includes four short double-helical elements and three loops (D, anti-codon, and T loops).
Source: RNAcentral
GGGCUCGUAGCUCAGUGGGAGAGCGCUCGCCUCACACGCGAGAGGUCGCUGGUUCGAAACCAGCCGAGCCCACCG